Molecule: unclassified non-coding RNA, 286 nt
Filed under: Hevea brasiliensis (rubber tree)
Lineage: Eukaryota; Viridiplantae; Streptophyta; Magnoliopsida; Malpighiales; Euphorbiaceae
Source: RNAcentral
GGAUGGAAGUCCAUGCUCAUAACAUUAGAUCCUUGAUUAAGGGACCGUACAACAGUUUUAGCCAGGUCAUCCUGUGAAUAGACAUUGGGAGUAUGUGCUACACCAGAAAAUGACACCUCAUCAGAUUGGCCAGUGCGCAUACGCUUCAUCAAGUGCUCUGAAUCAGCUGAUUGAUAAUCAAUCCCAGUCAUACCUGUGGGUGUUCUUGGGUGUUUCAAGAAGGCAGCUGCACUAGAAGGCUGCACAAGACCAGGAGGCCCUGCUGCCACAGCAGGGUGAGGCAAAG